This is a long non-coding RNA of Carassius auratus (goldfish), 869 nucleotides long. RefSeq lists it as uncharacterized. The transcript is spliced from 4 exons. The record is from RefSeq and is a predicted model, not a curated record. NCBI's taxonomy places the organism in Eukaryota, Metazoa, Chordata, Actinopteri, Cypriniformes, Cyprinidae.
AUAUAAUAUGUUGUAUAUGUAGCCUACAUUGCGUGUUUGCAUAAAAGAGCAGGUUAAUCCUUUUUUGAACAGGUUUGUUGAAAAAUCCUUCUCGAAAGAAUCGUAUUUCCAAAGUACUGUCAACUGACCACAUCUUCUUCCGCUUGUCAAAAUAGUUCUGCUCAGUUUGGUGUUUUAUUACGGAUUUAUUCUCAUAGUACCGUUUCAUAAUUUGAUAUAAUAAUAUAAUAAUAUGCUGAUAUUAAAAUAAAAAAAAAUAAAAAAUGUAAUAUUCGAACUGAAGGAAUUCCCGCCCUAGCGCAAGGACACAUUCUCCUCCAAGCACGCAGUGGAGCUGCUGCGCGCGCAGAAGGAAUAACUCGACCUUCAGUUUCACGGUCAAUCUUCAAUCUGAGGCGAAAAUAAGCAGAUAAGUUCAGUGAGUGCUAAAACCAUGGUCAACAUGAAAGGUCAUAGUUAACGACCACAUCACCAUCUUCUGCAACGCUCUGAUGUUUGCUUCAUACAACUGCUUGAACAUUUCAUACCCAGGAAACCAAGGAGAAACGCAAGAGAUUGUGCAAAGAUUCCUUUUUAAGAUGAACCCCGAGAAGGGAUCGAAAGUGGAGAAGACCACAUCGAGAAAGAAAUCAGCAGUCAGUCCAAAGGUUCUUUCACUGAUUAACAAGAUUGCGGACUUUGAAAGGAUGGAGUAAAACUUGGAGUGUCAGAUCUUCCUACAUUGCCUAGCAGAAAUUCUUGACAGUGUCAAAGACUUAAAAUACUUGCUGAUUAUUUGCUUUCAUGGUUGAUUUUUUUUUUUUUUAAUGCAUCAUCUGUUGUCAAGAUGAAUUAAUCUGUUCACAGGUGGUUCAGUUUUAAGGACAAAU